UAGGAAGUGGUGUAGUGGAAGNACUAAGAGUUUUGAUCUCUUCAGGUAGGGUUCAAGUCCCUUCUUUCUAA
Molecule: transfer RNA, 71 nt
Filed under: Chaenogobius annularis (forktongue goby)
Lineage: Eukaryota; Metazoa; Chordata; Actinopteri; Gobiiformes; Gobiidae
Description: tRNA-Gln
Rfam family: tRNA
About the family: Transfer RNA (tRNA) molecules are approximately 80 nucleotides in length.
Source: RNAcentral